Molecule: long non-coding RNA, 429 nt
Organism: Notolabrus celidotus (New Zealand spotty)
Lineage: Eukaryota; Metazoa; Chordata; Actinopteri; Labriformes; Labridae
Exons: 4
Source: RefSeq, a predicted model, not a curated record
AGGGAAAGCAACAUCGACACUGCAGACCACAGGCAAACACAUCAUGAAAACAACACUGCGGCACACAAAAGAAACAAGGGUGACAGCCCCCCUUCAAAAGGUUGGUGUUGGAUGUUGAUUGACAGCACGAUGCAGAAACAGUCUACAUUUUCCACAACAAAGAAGAAAAGAUCUCAGGGGAUAUGCAGAGUGGUACUGAAACUGCAGGACCAUGGACAGCACCUCAGUCAGCCUCACCUUGUGCUGACUUUACAGGAAAGCUGUGUGAAACCUUGACACCAACCUGUUGGACCCCUAAGGUGGGGGAGUUGACUGUCCAGUGUUAUGUCUCUAUUUGUGCAUUUGUAUAUGAAAUGUUAGUUUUUUAUUGUAAUUGUGAAAAAGCCAAUAAACAAAGUUUAAAAAAAAAAAAGAGGCUUAGGAAUAAAU